CCCUUAGAUGUUCUGGGCCGCACGCGCGCUACACUGACGAAGUCAGCGAGCAUCUCCUACGCCGAAAGGUGCGGGGAAUCUUGUGAAACUUUGUCGUGCUGGGGAUUGAUUUUUGAAAUUCUUGAUCAUCAACGAGGAAUUCCUAGUAAGCGCAAGUCAGCAGCUUGCGUUGAUUACGUCCCUGCCCUUUGUACACACCGCCCGUCGCUACUACCGAUUGAAUGGUUUAGUGAGAUUUUUGGACUGGAACUCUCUUGUUCAGCAAUGGACGAGAGGGACUCUGGGAAGCUAUUCUAACUGUNUNAUUUAUNGGAAGUAAAANUCGUANCA
This 330-nucleotide ribosomal RNA is filed under the name uncultured eukaryote. RNAcentral's name for it is "partial 18S ribosomal RNA". It matches the Rfam family "Eukaryotic small subunit ribosomal RNA", at positions 1470 to 1796 of the family's 1831-position model. The record is from RNAcentral.